This is a non-coding RNA of Rhinichthys klamathensis goyatoka, 1637 nucleotides long. The record is from the annotation of a RefSeq genome assembly. Lineage: Eukaryota; Metazoa; Chordata; Actinopteri; Cypriniformes; Leuciscidae.
AUGCUUUGUGUGGGUUUUUGGGUCGGGAACUCAAAUGCACCAGUCACUGUGUCGAUUACUUCGACUACUGGGGGAAAGGAACCAAAGUCACCGUUUCCUCAGCUCAACCAUCGGCGCCGGAAGUCCAUCUUCGCCCUGUCUCAGUGUUCUGCUGAUUCUAGUGGGUUCCUCGCCGUCGGCUGCUUGACCAGAGGUUUCUCCCCUGCGGACUCACUCACUUUCAAGUGGAAGGCUCCUGGUGAUAAAGAUCUGGAUACUUUCGUGCAGUAUCCAGCGUUUGGGAGUGACGGAGACUAUACCAAAAUCAGCCAUCUGCGUGUGAAAAAAAGCGUCUGGAAUCCUCAAAACCCUUACAUAUGUGAAGCUUCAAAUUCAAAAGGCACUUUAACAACUAAAGUAUUUCGAACAGUGAAACCACAAACACCAACCCUGAGCUUGGUUCCUGUUACAACUCCAAAAAGUACAUCUGUCAUGUGUGUUAUUGAGGAUUUCUACCCCAAGAAUCUCACUGGACAAUGGAAAGUAAAUAAUAACAGCACGAGCCUAAAACUGGAAAGCAAACUAAAUGAAGAUACAGGUCUUUACACAGCAUACAGUUUUUAUGAAGUCAGCAGUAAUACAUGGAAUGCAAAUAAUUCCUAUUCCUGUGAGGUCACACAUCAGGGAAAAACGAUUAUUGAGAAGAAGAACUUUAAAGCUUGUAAAUUCACACUGACGCUGAAUCCACCCAUUGAGAGAGAACUAUUUGUCAAUGAUAAAGUUGUCUUGGAAGCUGUUGUUUCUGGAGAUGUACAAAAUACAGUGCAAGAAGCUUCAGUGUCAUGCACAGUGAAGAAUGAACCUGUAAAAAGUGAGAAUAUCAGACCAGGAAAUGUCUUUACUGACACUUCAAACUUGCAGACAAGAAUCCACAAUGUCACCAUUGAUAAAAAGACAUGGUUUGAUGGUGAAAAGGUCACCUGCACCAUCCGUGACGCAAAUAAUAAGAGAGACAUCAAGCAGGGGAUCCAUUUUGAUAAAGGAGAUGGACAGAAACCCACUGUUACCAUUUACAGACCUGAUACUAGCAACAGUGUCAGCGACAGUGUCUCUCUGGUGUGUGAGGUCACAAGCCAUACACUGGGUGAUGUCUAUAUCAUGUGGAAAGUGGGCGAAGAGCCUUACAUAGAGGCCAGCACCAGUGUUCCUAUUCAUCAAAAGAGCUCCACGUCUGUUCUCAGCAUCCUAACAGUGUCAAAACAAAAGUAUGAUCCUCUAACCACCAUCACCUGUGCCGUCAAACACGCCAACAUGGACGAUGAAGGAUCUCCAUUACAAGUGUCAACCAGCAAAAGGGAGCCACCUGAGCCGGAGAAGGGCUUUGCUCUGAAUUGUAAUAAAGAUGUUCUGGAGGAGGAUGAGUUCAGAAGUCUCUGGUCCACUGCCACUUCCUUCAUCUUCCUAUUCCUCUUUUCUCUGACAUACAGCGCUGUACUUAGUCUUUUCAAGAUGAAGCACUGAUGAUUUUUAAAAAGAACUUCUGAAGACUCCAAGGUUUCUUAUUCUGAUGUUGAAUCUACAUAAUUUGCCUCUAUUCACAUUUUUUAAAGACAUUGACAAAUAUGUAAUCAGUCUUCACACUCAUCAGUAAAGUCUUA